Molecule: non-coding RNA, 99 nt
Organism: Acanthosepion pharaonis
Lineage: Eukaryota; Metazoa; Mollusca; Cephalopoda; Sepiida; Sepiidae
Source: the annotation of a GenBank genome assembly
ACGGUAACAUCGGUUUCUGCACGAUCUCCGAAGUUAAGCAACGUCGAGCCUGGUCAGUAUCUAGAUGGGUGACCGCUUGGUAAUACCACGUACUGUAAG